RNAcentral lists this ribosomal RNA (440 nucleotides) under uncultured bacterium. RNAcentral describes it as "partial 16S ribosomal RNA". It matches the Rfam family "Bacterial small subunit ribosomal RNA", at positions 338 to 795 of the family's 1533-position model. The record is from RNAcentral.
CCUACGGGAGGCAGCAGUGGGGAAUAUUGCACAAUGGGGGAAACCCUGAUGCAGCGACGCCGCGUGAGCGAUGAAGUAUCUCGGUAUGUAAAGCUCUAUCAGCAGGGAAGAAAAUGACGGUACCUGACUAAGAAGCUCCGGCUAACUACGUGCCAGCAGCCGCGGUAAUACGUAGGGGGCAAGCGUUAUCCGGAUUUAAUGGGUGUAAAGGGAGCGUAGACGGGGGUGCAAGCCAGAUGUGAAAGCCCGGGGCUCAACCCCGGGACUGCAUUUGGAACUGUGCUGCUAGAGUGUCGAAGAGGCAGGCGGAAUGCCUGGUGUAGCGGUGAAAUGCGUAGAUAUUAGGAGGAACACCGGUGGCGAAGGCGAGCUGCUGGACGGUGACUGACGUUGAGGCUCGAAAGCGUGGGGAGCAAACAGGAUUAGAUACCCGUGUAGUC